Molecule: ribosomal RNA, 503 nt
Filed under: uncultured bacterium
Lineage: Bacteria
Description: partial 16S ribosomal RNA
Rfam family: Bacterial small subunit ribosomal RNA
Source: RNAcentral
AACGAACGCUGGCGGCACGUUUUAAGCAUGCAAGUCGAAUGGCAGCAGGGGCAACUCUGUGAGAAUGGCGAACGGGUGAGUAACACGUAGGUGAUCUGCCUUGAGGAUGGGGAUAGCCUGUGGAAACACAGGGUAAUACCGAAUGAGCUGACGAGACUUUGGUUUUGUUAGUAAAGGUGCUGCGGCACCGCCUUGAGAGGAGCCUGCGGCUGAUUAGCUAGUUGGUGGGGUAAGAGCUUACCAAGGCGACGAUCAGUAGCCGGCCUGAGAGGGUGUACGGCCACACUGGAACUGAGACACGGUCCAGACUCCUACGGGAGGCAGCAGCUAAGAAUCUUCCGCAAUGGGCGAAAGCCUGACGGAGCGAUGCCGCGUGAUCGAUGAAAGUCGAGAGAUUGUAAAGAUCUUUUCUACAUGAGGAAUAAGUCUGGGAGGGAAUGCCCGGAUGAUGACGUUAGUGUAGGAAUAAGCCCCGGCUAAUUACGUGCCAGCAGCCGCAGUAA